RNAcentral lists this long non-coding RNA (622 nucleotides) under Oryza brachyantha (malo sina). Its description in RNAcentral is "long non-coding RNA (OBRA_LNC003486)". The record is from RNAcentral. Lineage: Eukaryota; Viridiplantae; Streptophyta; Magnoliopsida; Poales; Poaceae.
CAAAAUAUUCAAAUACUCCGUGUUGUCCAACAAAAACAUUCCAGGUACAAAAUUCAAACAGCUGGACAUGACAUGAGACCGUAAACAAGUAGCAUACAGACAGAUAAUGGUGUUCCUGUUUAUGGCUGCCAACGCCAACCACUGGUGACUACGGCAAAGUGUACAUGCAAAAUGUCUACAAGCUUUUAUCACACAACCUAUACAAAUAAUGGUACCGGCGUUGUAGCUCCCGCUCAACCUAACCAUCAUCCUCAUCCUAUCCCAUGGUAAUAACAUAUAAUUAACUCGACCUGGCUAGAUAUUUCACUCGCCAAAAUUGUCCUGGUACCAAAAGAAUCAGUUGAAACAACCAAUAACAAAUCUACAGCUUGAAAGAUGCCUCGAGUAUCACUUCUGUGUAAAUUGAAAUGCUUAUCAUCUAAACGAACUCUCUUCACAAGUGGAUAACUCAGUAGCUUCCCAUCGGUGGCAUCCCGUAUGCUGGCAUAGGUCCAGGACCCAUCGGAGGCAUCCCCAUUCCGCCCAUCGGAGGCAUGCCCAUUCCACCCAUUGGAGGUGGAGGAACGCCCAUACCAGGUGGAGCAGGCAGGGCAAGAGGAAGCAGUUGGGCGUACAUGUUCUG